UGCAGUCGAACGAUGAAGCCGGGUGCUUGCACCGGGUGGAUUAGUGGCGAACGGGUGAGUAUCACGUGAGUAACCUGCCCUUGACUCUGGGAUAAGCCUGGGAAACUGGGUCUAAUACCGGAUAUGACCAGUCCUCGCAUGGGGUGCUGGUGGAAAGAUUUAUCGGUCUUGGAUGGACUCGCGGCCUAUCAGUUUGUUGGUGAGGUAAUGGCUCACCAAGGCGAUGACGGGUAGCCGGCCUGAGAGGGUGACCGGCCACACUGGGACUGAGACACGGCCCAGACUCCUACGGGAGGCAGCAGUGGGGAAUAUUGCACAAUGGGCGCAAGCCUGAUGCAGCGACGCCGCGUGCGGGAUGACGGCCUUCGGGUUGUAAACCGCUUUCAGCAGGGAAGAAGCUUUUUGUGACGGUACCUGCAGAAGAAGCGCCGGCUAACUACGUGCCAGCAGCCGCGGUAAUACGUAGGGCGCGAGCGUUAUCCGGAAUUAUUGGGCGUAAAGGGCUCGCAGGCGGUUUGCCACGUCUGCUGUGAAAGCCCGGGGCUUAACUCCGGGUGUGCAGUGGGUACGGGUAGACUAGAGUGCAGUAGGGGAGACUGGAAUUCCUGGUGUAGCGGUGAAAUGCGCAGAUAUCAGGAAGAACACCGAUGGCGAAGGCAGGUCUCUGGGCUGUUACUGACGCUGAGGAGCGAAAGCAUGGGGAGCGAACAGGAUUAGAUACCCUGGUAGUCCAUGCCGUAAACGUUGGGCACUAGGUGUGGGGGACAUUCCACGUUUUUCCGCGCCGUAGCUAACGCAUUAAGUGCCCCGCCUGGGGAGUACGGCCGCAAGGCUAAAACUCAAAGGAAUUGACGGGGGCCCGCACAAGCGGCGGAGCAUGCGGAUUAAUUCGAUGCAACGCGAAGAACCUUACCAAGGCUUGACAUGGACCGGAUCGCUGCAGAGAUGUAGUUUCCCUUCGGGGCUGGUUCACAGUGGUGCAUGGUUGUCGUCAGCUCGUGUCGUGAGAUGUUGGGUUAAGUCCCGCACGAGCGCAACCCUUGUCCUAUGUUGCAGCACGUGAU
Molecule: ribosomal RNA, 1064 nt
Filed under: Nesterenkonia halobia
Lineage: Bacteria; Bacillati; Actinomycetota; Actinomycetes; Micrococcales; Micrococcaceae
Description: bacterial SSU rRNA
Rfam family: Bacterial small subunit ribosomal RNA
Source: RNAcentral